RNAcentral lists this long non-coding RNA (220 nucleotides) under Elaeis guineensis (African oil palm). RNAcentral's name for it is "long non-coding RNA (EGUI_LNC023616)". The record is from RNAcentral. Lineage: Eukaryota; Viridiplantae; Streptophyta; Magnoliopsida; Arecales; Arecaceae.
UCGGAGCUUUACCGAUCCGGAGAUCGAAUUUUCAUAGAUCGAAGGAUCUUAUCUCCUUUCUAACCCUUCGGAGCUUUACCAAUUCUGAUAUCGGAUCUUUGUAGAUCAGGAUAUCUUAUGUCCUUUUGACCCUUCAGGGCUUUAUCGAUUUGGAGAUCGAAUGUUCAUAGAUCGAAAGAUCUUAUCUCCUUUGCGGCCCUUCAGGGCUUUACUGAUUCGG